UUAAAGGCUGUGAAGUAGCGAAGUAGUUUUUUCUCGGUGACAUUUAGAGAGUCAGCGGAUGCUGAAAGCUGACCGUACAAGAAUAAACGAAUUACCCUACAGAGCCGCGCCGACAAAAUCGACGACGGGCGCGCCCGUUAAAGCGCUAGAGUGUCACUGGAUUUAACCAAGCACUUGAAUAAUGAGAAUUAUUCUUUUGGUUAACCGAGUCCGACUCGGUUUUUUUGUGAAAAAGAAUAAUUAAAAAAGGGUGGUAUCGCCCUUCG
Molecule: non-coding RNA, 266 nt
Filed under: Candidatus Microgenomatota
Lineage: Bacteria
Description: Microgenomates Woesebacteria T-box sequence
Rfam family: T-box leader
About the family: Uncharged tRNA acts as the effector for transcription antitermination of genes in the T-box leader family.
Source: RNAcentral